RNAcentral lists this small nuclear RNA (104 nucleotides) under Propithecus coquereli (Coquerel's sifaka). Lineage: Eukaryota; Metazoa; Chordata; Mammalia; Primates; Indriidae. The record is from RNAcentral.
GUGCUCGCUUUUGCAGCAUAUAUACUAAAAUUGGAACAAUACAGAAAUUAGCAUGGCCCCUGUGCAAGGAUGACACACAAAUUUGUAAAGCAUUCCACAUUUUU